RNAcentral lists this ribosomal RNA (254 nucleotides) under uncultured bacterium. RNAcentral describes it as "partial 16S ribosomal RNA". It matches the Rfam family "Bacterial small subunit ribosomal RNA", at positions 524 to 776 of the family's 1533-position model. The record is from RNAcentral.
CACGUAGGGUGCGAGCGUUGUCCGGAAUUAUUGGGCGUAAAGAGCUCGUAGGCGGUGUGUCGCGUCGGCCGUGAAAACCUGUAGCUUAACUGUGGGCUUGCGGUCGAUACGGGCAUCACUGGAGUUCGGCAGGGGAGACUGGAAUUCCUGGUGUAGCGGUGAAAUGCGUAGAUAUCGGGAGGAACACCAGUGGCGAAGGCGACUACCUGGCCUGUUCUUGACGCUGAGGCGCGAAAGCUAGGGGAGCAAACGGG